UCAUAAAACUAUGGCAGCAUAGGUAUUCCCCUGCACUACUCACAAUUCAGCAGGAACAGCCCUCUAAGCAUGUUAAUAGCCUGUACAAAGAGAUUCCAUAAAAGAAUACCAGCAUUUCCCUGUACUUUGUUACUUCUUUACUCAGUUUAUUAACUUUCUCCUACCAUUUAAUCCUUUUAUUUAUCCUUUUCCUCACUAUAUCCCAUCAAAAAAAUUGGUGAUCUAUAAGUGUGCCAUGUGCAAUUUAUUACCUUCUAGAUCUGUGUCUUUGCAACCAAAAUAUUCGUAGAAGCAUUACUUCCCCCCCCCUGGAAAACUUUGGAAAACGAUACGAUCCCCUUCCACGUUACCAAUUUACCAUAUAGUCCCAGUGGCGUAACUACCGAGGAAGCAGACCGCAGACCCCGCAGCUGUGCGCGCAUGUGCGUGGGGGGGGGAUAUAGGGGGCCUGAUUCCUCAGCAGCAUGUGCAACCGGCAGGGACCAUUUCGGGGAAUGGUACUGGCAAUCUGGACCUCCGCAGGGCUUCUGAUAUUUUAUCCAGAGUGCCUCGCUACUUUUACUAAUAAAAACAGUGGCAGACUGAGGGGUGGGAGUUCGAGCGAUUGCACUCCACUUUCAUGCCCUAAACUCAGCUAUCUAAUGGAAGGCAGGGAAAAGGGCACCUGUAUAAGUUGAACUGUCCAGGACUCUGCUGACUGCUCUGUGCUGCAGAUUCCCCCCUCCUCCCUUCCCUAAUAGACUAUCAGCAUAGAAAGAAUGUAGGGCUGGUAAGGAUACAAAUGACAUUUAUUGCACUGCCUUGUGCUGGUUUAACCCUUGUCUUUCCUUGCCUUAAUGUGCAAAGUUUCAAUUGUGCCAUCUGCUAUUUAUACAUGAAAUUUCACUGUGCCAUCCUUCUAUAGUUCUGGGGUAUUUAUAUGUGAAAUUGCCACUGUGCCAUCCUUCUAUGGGUUCUGGGGAUAUUAUACAUGAAAUUGACUCCUUCUUGCCUCUAGCCCCAGGUUUCACUUUCAAAUCUUGUAAUCUUAGUAUGACAGGAACUGAGAUGAAUGCUGUUCCCCCAUGCUGCAAAGCAGUCUAGUCUUAAUCUGACUCUGAUCAUGGAUGAGCUGAAGGUACAUGUGGUAGGGGGGAUCCUGGGUCUCCCACAAUUAUGUGCAGAGGGGGCCCAGAAAUUUUUCUUGCAGGGGGGCCCUGGCAUCCGAAGUUACGCCACUGGAUGGUGUAAAUACAUCCAAAAUUGUAUACAGCCAGGAACAAGCGGAUUAUAUAGAUAGAGUAAAGUCCAGGAGACGUACGAUACGUCAAGUAUUAUAUAGGGUGGUCUGGUGUAAUAGCCGCAAUGUGGUAGGUGGCUAGCAGAGAGAAGCGUAUUCCUGAGAGUAUUUUGCAAUGACAAAUUAUGUCGACAAAAAUGGUAUGUAUAUCAAACGUGAAAGAACCCAGUUGGCAGAGUAAUUUUGGUGUUUAAAAGGUAUAGUCUUGCACAACAGUCAAGUAUGUGAGCUUGACAAUGGGCAAAGUGUAGUUCAGCGUGCCUCCUUUGAUGUAAGCCAACUUAUUAGGGGCUGAUCCAGCUAUGGCGAGUGCCCUUAGGGCGCUGUGAGAUAUGAUGAAACUGGGUAUAAAAACUGUUUAGUCCGCACUCCACUGGGAUCAGAGGAGUAUGGGUAAGUUGUUAAGGUGUAUAGUUUAACAGUCAGCACGGGUCCCCAGGUGCGCAAGCAGGGAGACAGCUGAAUAGGUACAGUCGUGCGAUCCCCGCACUGGUGCGUCUGAGUACAUAUAACAAGAAGGUAGUGACUGUGAAGGCCCAACCUGCGAUCUAGUCGCAAUGGCCGUGCCGUGCCCUCUAGACAAAGCGCCCCAGAAAGUGAAGGGAGACCGGAGUUCAAACAGCCUCCACGUGGUGAACAGCAGCCGUGCAAUGUAGAUGCGGCCUGUAGGAAACAGCGAUGCGGCUGUGAGCUAUGGCGUCUGGUAAGGUUGUGUGCGCUAUGGGUAGUAUUUUCCCCGCCGUCCCGUGACCAGGGUAUGCCGUUGAUGUGAGGAUCGGGGACUUAUGCUUACCGAUCUACGGCUCAGUUCAGUCAAAAUGGAGUGAUGGCCUGGUCCGGGUCCACGAGGGAUGCGCAGGGUAGUAAUUGCGGCAGCUUCCAGGGAAAGCAAAAGAGGGACGAGCCAAAAAGCGAAUGCUUUGUUUUCCCCUCACUAUCCUGCUGAUGGAAACAGAGUGUUAGCCGUGUAGUAAAAGACCGUGAUGGCCGUGGAUGGCAAUCUCUGUGCAGGAGCUCUGCUAAAACGCGGCCAUCUUAGGGUCCGCCCCCCAGAAGUCCCAGGACUACAUGGACGUUUUCUGCAUGAUCUGAUGCACUGCGACAAAAACGACAAAAAUAAGGUUACUUGCUGCUCAGAUUAGUGAAUCAGGAGGAGAGAACAGUUGUUAUGACCGAGGAAGAUAAAGUGAUGAAAGGACAAGAGAAUACAGAAGUGGUGUAAAUAAUAAGUUGGAAAAGAAGAUAACAGAUGUUCACCUACACAGAGGGAAUCACCAGCAGUUCAAUCAGUUACAAGAAAAGAUGACAUUCCAUUUGUACAUUGCAUACCAAUAAAAUUUUUAACUAACUCUUGUAAAGUUUUCAAUAAAAACAUGAAUAAUCA
This is a long non-coding RNA of Xenopus laevis (African clawed frog), 2663 nucleotides long. RefSeq lists it as uncharacterized. The record is from RefSeq and is a predicted model, not a curated record. The transcript is spliced from 4 exons. Lineage: Eukaryota; Metazoa; Chordata; Amphibia; Anura; Pipidae.